This 571-nucleotide ribosomal RNA is filed under the name Brucella melitensis. RNAcentral describes it as "bacterial SSU rRNA". It matches the Rfam family "Bacterial small subunit ribosomal RNA", at positions 1 to 609 of the family's 1533-position model. Lineage: Bacteria; Pseudomonadati; Pseudomonadota; Alphaproteobacteria; Hyphomicrobiales; Brucellaceae. The record is from RNAcentral.
AUCGAGUUUGAUCAUGGCUCAGAUUGAACGCUGGCGGCAGGCCUAACACAUGCAAGUCGAGCGGAUGAAGGGAGCUUGCUCCUGGAUUCAGCGGCGGACGGGUGAGUAAUGCCUAGGAAUCUGCCUGGUAGUGGGGGAUAACGUCCGGAAACGGGCGCUAAUACCGCAUACGUCCUGAGGGAGAAAGUGGGGGAUCUUCGGACCUCACGCUAUCAGAUGAGCCUAGGUCGGAUUAGCUAGUUGGUGGGGUAAAGGCCUACCAAGGCGACGAUCCGUAACUGGUCUGAGAGGAUGAUCAGUCACACUGGAACUGAGACACGGUCCAGACUCCUACGGGAGGCAGCAGUGGGGAAUAUUGGACAAUGGGCGAAAGCCUGAUCCAGCCAUGCCGCGUGUGUGAAGAAGGUCUUCGGAUUGUAAAGCACUUUAAGUUGGGAUACCAACAGAAUAAGCACCGGCUAACUUCGUGCCAGCAGCCGCGGUAAUACGAAGGGUGCAAGCGUUAAUCGGAAUUACUGGGCGUAAAGCGCGCGUAGGCGGACUUUUACGUCAGCGGUGAAAUCCCGGGGCU